GGGUGAGUAACGCGUAGGUAAUCUACCCCAGAGUUUCGAAUAACCUGCCGAAAGGCGGGCUAAUACGAGAUAGAGCGACGGAAUCCGUAAUUGGGUUUUUCGGGAAAGGGAGCUUGAAAGAGCCCUCGCUCUAGGAUGAGCCUGCGUCCCAUUAGCUAGUUGGUGGGGUAAAAGCCUACCAAGGCAGUGAUGGGUAGCUGGUCUGAGAGGAUGAUCAGCCACACUGGAACUGAAACACGGUCCAGACUCCUACGGGAGGCAGCAGUGGGGAAUCUUGCGCAAUGGACGAAAGUCUGACGCAGCAACGCCGCGUGAGUGAAGAAGGCCUUAGGGUUGUAAAGCUCUGUCAGUUGGGACGAAAAUGCAUAGAGUUAAUAGCUAUAUGUACUGACGGUACCAGCGAAGGAAGCACCGGCUAAC
This 420-nucleotide ribosomal RNA is filed under the name uncultured bacterium. Its description in RNAcentral is "bacterial SSU rRNA". It matches the Rfam family "Bacterial small subunit ribosomal RNA", at positions 104 to 501 of the family's 1533-position model. The record is from RNAcentral.